RNAcentral lists this ribosomal RNA (391 nucleotides) under uncultured bacterium. RNAcentral describes it as "bacterial SSU rRNA". It matches the Rfam family "Bacterial small subunit ribosomal RNA", at positions 28 to 420 of the family's 1533-position model. The record is from RNAcentral.
GACGAACGCUGGCGGCGUGCUUAACACAUGCAAGUCGAGCGGUAAGGCCCUUUCGGGGGUACACGAGCGGCGAACGGGUGAGUAACACGUGGGUGACCUGCCCUCAGCUCUGGGAUAAGCCUGGGAAACCGGGUCGAAUACCGGAUAUGACUCCAUGACGCAUGUUGUGGGGUGGAAAGCCUUGUGCGGCUGAGGAUGGGCCCGCGGCCUAUCAGCUUGUUGGUGGGGUGANGGCCUACCAAGGCGACGACGGGUAGCCGGCCUGAGAGGGCGACCGGCCACACUGGGACUGAGACACGGCCCAGACUCCUACGGGAGGCAGCAGUGGGGAAUCUUGCGCAAUGGGCGAAAGCCUGACGCAGCGACGCCGCGUGAGGGAUGACGGCCUGGU